UGGGGAAUAUUGCACAAUGGGCGCAAGCCUGAUGCAGCCAAGCCGCGUGUAUGAAGAAGGCCUUCGGGUUGUAAAGUACUUUCAGCGAGGAGGAAGGCGGUAAGGUUAAUAACCUUAUCGAUUGACGUUACUCGCAGAAGAAGCACCGGCUAACUCCGUGCCAGCAGCCGCGGUAAUACGGAGGGUGCAAGCGUUAAUCGGAAUUACUGGGCGUAAAGCGCACGCAGGCGGUCUGUCAAGUCGGAUGUGAAAUCCCCGGGCUCAACCUGGGAACUGCAUUCGAAACUGGCAGGCUAGAGUCUUGUAGAGGGGGGUAGAAUUCCAGGUGUAGCGGUGAAAUGCGUAGAGAUCUGGAGGAAUACCGGUGGCGAAGGCGGCCCCCUGGACAAAGACUGACGCUCAGGUGCGAAAGCGUGGGGAGCAAACA
Molecule: ribosomal RNA, 427 nt
Filed under: uncultured bacterium
Lineage: Bacteria
Description: partial 16S ribosomal RNA
Rfam family: Bacterial small subunit ribosomal RNA
Source: RNAcentral